Molecule: ribosomal RNA, 429 nt
Filed under: Chloroflexota bacterium
Lineage: Bacteria; Bacillati; Chloroflexota
Description: Chloroflexi bacterium partial 16S ribosomal RNA
Rfam family: Bacterial small subunit ribosomal RNA
Source: RNAcentral
UGGGGAAUAUUGCACAAUGGGCGCAAGCCUGAUGCAGCCAUGCCGCGUGUGUGAAGAAGGCCUUCGGGUUGUAAAGCACUUUCAGCGGGGAGGAAGGCGUUAAGGUUAAUAACCUUGGCGAUUGACGUUACCCGCCGAAGAAGCACCGGCUAACUCCGUGCCAGCAGCCGCGGUAAUACGGAGGGUGCAAGCGUUAAUCGGAAUUACUGGGCGUAAAGCGCACGCAGGCGGUCUGUCAAGUCGGAUGUGAAAUCCCCGGGCUCAACCUGGGAACUGCAUUCGAAACUGGCAGGCUAGAGUCUUGUAGAGGGGGGUAGAAUUCCAGGUGUAGCGGUGAAAUGCGUAGAGAUCUGGAGGAAUACCGGUGGCGAAGGCGGCCCCCUGGACAAAGACUGACGCUCAGGUGCGAAAGCGUGGGGAGCAAACAGG